This 465-nucleotide ribosomal RNA is filed under the name Vreelandella stevensii. RNAcentral describes it as "partial 16S ribosomal RNA". It matches the Rfam family "Bacterial small subunit ribosomal RNA", at positions 338 to 795 of the family's 1533-position model. The record is from RNAcentral. Lineage: Bacteria; Pseudomonadati; Pseudomonadota; Gammaproteobacteria; Oceanospirillales; Halomonadaceae.
CCUACGGGUGGCAGCAGUGGGGAAUAUUGGACAAUGGGCGAAAGCCUGAUCCAGCCAUGCCGCGUGUGUGAAGAAGGCCUUCGGGUUGUAAAGCACUUUCAGUGGGGAAGAAAGCCUUGGGGCUAAUACCCUCGAGGAAGGACAUCACCCACAGAAGAAGCACCGGCUAACUCCGUGCCGGCAGCCGCGGUAAUACGGAGGGUGCGAGCGUUAAUCGGAAUUACUGGGCGUAAAGCGCGCGUAGGCGGUCUGAUAAGCCGGUUGUGAAAGCCCCGGGCUCAACCUGGGAACGGCAUCCGGAACUGUCAGGCUAGAGUGCAGGAGAGGAAGGUAGAAUUCCCGGUGUAGCGGUGAAAUGCGUAGAGAUCGGGAGGAAUACCAGUGGCGAAGGCGGCCUUCUGGACUGACACUGACGCUGAGGUGCGAAAGCGUGGGUAGCAAACAGGAUUAGAUACCCCAGUAGUC